Molecule: long non-coding RNA, 300 nt
Filed under: Homo sapiens (human)
Lineage: Eukaryota; Metazoa; Chordata; Mammalia; Primates; Hominidae
Description: HSALNT0161844
Source: RNAcentral
AGUGGCCUGUGGUGCUCUGCACUGUGAACUCACUGUCGCCGUAUCUGUGGUCAUACAUUCCGGAGAGACAGUAGCUGAGGUCUCUCCCGAUCUUCUGAUCCAAGUUCAACAAAAGCCUCACCACUCUGCCUGCCCUCUCUAGUGUAGAUGAAAUGGACACCUGCGGCCCCAUCAUGAAUCGUGCAGUCAGAGAGGAAGUUCUGCACGUCCUCAACAGAGCAGGACCAGGGCAGGCCACGGAGCUUGACCACAAAGCCUUCACCUCCCUCAGGGCCCAGCAUCAUGGACACUUGUCAGGGU